Pogona vitticeps (central bearded dragon) is the source of this 657-nucleotide non-coding RNA. Lineage: Eukaryota; Metazoa; Chordata; Lepidosauria; Squamata; Agamidae. The record is from RefSeq and is a predicted model, not a curated record.
AUAAGGGCAGGGUAUGCAUACAGCUCUGUCACAAGCAAGAAACAGAUAACUGUGCCAGUAUUUACUAAUUGCUCCUUAGAAAUGACUCAGUGAAAGCAUGUCAGCGUACAACAAAACAUAAUUUUUUUUCAAAGAAUAAUGAGACUUGCAAACAAAGCCCAUUUUUCAUCUCAGCAAAGAAUCCUAAAUCAACCAGACACAAUAUUCCAGGUUAGUUGGCUAAAGCAGCUCCCCCUGUACAUGUUUUUCCUUGUAACAGGUGUGUGAAUAUAAUGAUGAGUCUUUCCCAGUCAGAAGAAGCCAUUGGCCGGUUCAGUGAACUGAGUGACUCUAGAAUUUAUUAAGCCAAGGCCUUUCAUAGCCCAGGUAACAUUCUGCUCCACAGUUCCAUCUCCAUUUAAAGGCAUUAGAUAUACUGGGCUAUUGCCCUGCACCUUCAAACCACAGUAAAUAAAUGCAGCUAAGUGCCACCAAGAGUGAAAGAGCUUAUAAUGAGAAGUGUGAAUAGACGUCCAUGCCAUUCAUCAUUCUACUCAGUCCAAUAUUGGGGCUCGUUUUUAUCAGCGGUAUCCGAAGUAGUGUCAUCACCUCUGGUAUAAAUCUUCUGUCAGUGUCUGUCGUCUCAGUACCCUAUUAAACCCAUGCUCUCAUAUAAUC